UACGUAGGGUGCGAGCGUUAAUCGGAAUUACUGGGCGUAAAGCGUGCGCAGGCGGUUUUGUAAGCCAGAUGUGAAAGCCCCGGGCUCAACCUGGGAAUGGCAUUUGGGACUGCAAGGCUUGAGUGCGGCAGAGGAGACUGGAGUUCCUGGUGUAGCAGUGAAAUGCGUAGAUAUCAGGAGGAAUACCGAUGGCGAAGGCAGGUCUCUGGGCUGACACUGACGCUCAUGCACGAAAGCGUGGGGAGCAAACAGG
Molecule: ribosomal RNA, 253 nt
Filed under: uncultured bacterium
Lineage: Bacteria
Description: partial 16S ribosomal RNA
Rfam family: Bacterial small subunit ribosomal RNA
Source: RNAcentral